This is a long non-coding RNA of Plodia interpunctella (Indianmeal moth), 700 nucleotides long. RefSeq lists it as uncharacterized. NCBI's taxonomy places the organism in Eukaryota, Metazoa, Arthropoda, Insecta, Lepidoptera, Pyralidae. The record is from RefSeq and is a predicted model, not a curated record. The transcript is spliced from 3 exons.
CGACGUUAGCCAUUUGCGAUCGCGCUUGACGCAUCGCCCGUGAAAAAAUCAAUUACGAUUUUUGAUAGCUCGGCUCCGGUGACCGCUGUGAUAGUGUGGAGAUCAACACUGUAAGUGGGGAGCGUGAACCGCAAAGCAAGCGUGACAGAACAAAGUUUGCGAACCGGAUUGCGCCGGUUCCGGCGGGAUUACGCCGGCGCGCAGCGGUUACAGCCGGCUAGAGCCAGUUAGUCAGGUGCACACCAUGAAAACUACUGAAUGAAAUUUGACGUACGCGGAUGAAGCAGUAAGCAAACUAAGAAAAUCUACAAUUUCCUUUAGCAGCUAAGCAUUCCAAAUAAAACACUUCAGGAAGGUCAAGAUCUAAAACAACAGCCAAAGUUUUAAUUUUUUUAAUAAAGAUUACCUGUAAGGAUAUUGGGAAGUGAAGUGAAAUAAAUAAAUAUUAAUUAGUAAAUUAAGCAGUGAGUUAAAAACAUUAUUCAAUGAGUCUUUUGAAAUAAACAUCAAUUUUAUAAUUUGUGAAUGUAUAUUAGAAUCCUAGUUUUAUUUGGUAUGUGUAAUUUUUAAUCUUUAGUAAGCAUAUAUAAGAAAUUUAAAUAGGUUUAAAAUUAGUAUAUCACAGCACUUAAUAUUGAAUUAAACAUCUUCAUUCUAAUUUAACACAAAUAUUUGAAUACAACAGCACGUUACAACAAAU